GAUGAACGCUGGCGGCGUGCUUAACACAUGCAAGUCGAACGGAAAGGCUCCUGCUUGCAGGGGUUCUCGAGUGGCGAACGGGUGUGUAACAUGUGGGAGAUCUGCCCUGCACUUCGGGAUAAGCCGGGGAAACUGGGUCUAAUACCGGAUAGUACGAUGGUGGGGAUGCCAUUGUGGAAAGUCUUUGGGUGGGGGAAGAGCUCGGCGCCUAUCAGCAUGUUGGUGGGGUAAUGGCCUCACAAGGCGUCGACGGGGAGCCGGCCUGAGGGGGUGUACGGCCACAUUGGGAAUGGGAUACCGGCCAGACUCCUACGGGGAGGAAGAGGGGGGGAAAAUGCAAAAUGGGAGCAAGACUGAUGCAGAGACGCCGCGUGGGGGAGAAGAGCCUUCGGGUUAUAAACACCUUUCGCUAGGGACGAAGAGCAAGUGACGGUACCUGGAGAAGAAGAACCGGCUAAAUACGUG
Molecule: ribosomal RNA, 465 nt
Filed under: uncultured bacterium
Lineage: Bacteria
Description: partial 16S ribosomal RNA
Rfam family: Bacterial small subunit ribosomal RNA
Source: RNAcentral